UACGUAGGGGCAAGCGUUGUCCGGAUUUAUUGGGCGUAAAGAGCGUGUAGGCGGUUUGGUAGGUCCGCUGUGAAAACUCGAGGCUCAACCUCGAGACGCCGGUGGAAACCAUCAGGCUAGAGUCCGGAAGAGGAGAGUGGAAUUCCUGGUGUAGCGGUGAAAUGCGCAGAUAUCAGGAAGAACACCCGUGGCUAAGGCGGCUCUCUAGUACGGUACUGACGCUGAGACGCGAAAGCGUGGGGAGCGAACAGG
RNAcentral lists this ribosomal RNA (252 nucleotides) under uncultured bacterium. RNAcentral's name for it is "partial 16S ribosomal RNA". It matches the Rfam family "Bacterial small subunit ribosomal RNA", at positions 524 to 776 of the family's 1533-position model. The record is from RNAcentral.